UACGUAGGGUGCAGGCGUUAAUCGGAAUUACUGGGCGUAAAGCGCGCGCAGGUGGUCUUUCAAGUCAGUGGUGAAAGCCCGGAGCUCAACUCCGGAAAUGCCAUUGAAACUGUAAGACUUGAGGAUGAGAGAGGUGAGUGGAAUUCCCAGUGUAGAGGUGAAAUUCGUAGAUAUUGGGAAGAACACCGGUGGCGAAGGCGGCUCACUGGCUCAUAUCUGACGCUCAGGCGCGACAGCGUGGGGAUCAAACAGG
This 253-nucleotide ribosomal RNA is filed under the name uncultured bacterium. RNAcentral's name for it is "partial 16S ribosomal RNA". It matches the Rfam family "Bacterial small subunit ribosomal RNA", at positions 524 to 776 of the family's 1533-position model. The record is from RNAcentral.